Molecule: long non-coding RNA, 140 nt
Organism: Haliotis rubra (blacklip abalone)
Lineage: Eukaryota; Metazoa; Mollusca; Gastropoda; Lepetellida; Haliotidae
Exons: 3
Source: RefSeq, a predicted model, not a curated record
CAUACCAAUAAUCUGAUUCCUAGUGUCGAUUGACAAUCGUCUCCGUGCCAUGUUCAAUGAAUAUGCUUGAAUGACCGUUUCAGCCAACGUUAGAUACCCACAAAUACAAUUGGGCCAUACUGCUUUUUGUGAUCCUCGGU